This 406-nucleotide ribosomal RNA is filed under the name uncultured bacterium. Its description in RNAcentral is "partial 16S ribosomal RNA". It matches the Rfam family "Bacterial small subunit ribosomal RNA", at positions 30 to 526 of the family's 1533-position model. The record is from RNAcentral.
AUUGAACGCUGGCGGCAGGCCUAACACAUGCAAGUCGAACGAGUGGCGGACGGGUGAGUAAUGUCUGGGAAACUGCCUGAUGGAGGGGGAUAACUACUUGAAACGGUAGCUAAUACCGCCUACCAUCAGCUGUGCCCAAAUGGGAUUAGCUUGUUGGUGGGGUAACGGCUCACCAAGGCGAAGAUCCCUAGCUGGUCUGAGAGGAUGACCAGCCACACUGGAAAUGAGACACGGCCCAGACUCCUACGGGAGGCAGCAGUGGGGAAUAUUGCACAAUGGGCGCAAGCCUGAUGCAGCCAUGCCGCGUGUAUGAAGAAGGCCUUAGGGUUGUAAAGUACUUUCAGCGGGGAGGCGUUACCCGCAGAAGAAGCACCGGCUAACUCCGUGCCAGCAGACGCGGUAAUUC